This 400-nucleotide unclassified non-coding RNA is filed under the name fungal sp. Its description in RNAcentral is "partial internal transcribed spacer region". The stretch from base 1 to 46 matches the Rfam family "Eukaryotic small subunit ribosomal RNA", at positions 1786 to 1831 of the family's 1831-position model. Lineage: Eukaryota; Fungi. The record is from RNAcentral.
AAGUCGUAACAAGGUUUCCGUAGGUGAACCUGCGGAAGGAUCAUUACCGAAAAGUAAAAAAAAACCAAGCUCGUGAUGGUGCAAGUUUAGGUGCGUGUAGUAUGGAUUCGCGCUCUUGCCCUCAUGUUGCAAAAAGACAAGUUUUUGGCUGAAAUGGAUCUUGCGUUUUGGGGCAGUCUCUCGGGGCUGUUCCGGGCGUGAGAGCUGAUGGUCAAAAACUUUUCAUAAGUCUUCUGUUGUUCAUGCCCUCGCGGGGGCAUGGCUCAGGAGCAGAGCCUAAAAAUUUUGAAAACAAGAUAACAAAAAUUUUGAAAACAAGAUAACAAAAAUUUUGAAAACAAGAUAAAAAGAUAAAAAGACGUAAAAAUUAACCUCGUGUGGUGGAUCACUUGGCUCGUGG